GUGGGGAAUUUUGGACAAUGGGGGAAACCCUGAUCCAGCCAUCCCGCGUGUGCGAUGAAGGCCUUAGGGUUGUAAAGCUCUUUCGCCGACGAAGAUAAUGACGGUAGUCGGAGAAGAAGCCCCGGCUAACUUCGUGCCAGCAGCCGCGGUAAUACGAAGGGGGCUAGCGUUGUUCGGAAUCACUGGGCGUAAAGCGCACGUAGGCGGACAUUUAAGUCAGGGGUGAAAGCCUGGUGCUCAACUCCAGAACUGCCCUUGAUACUGGGUGUCUCGAGUCCGGAAGAGGUAAGUGGAACUGCGAGUGUAGAGGUGAAAUUCGUAGAUAUUCGCAAGAACACCAGUGGCGAAGGCGGCUUACUGGUCCGGUACUGACGCUGAGGUGCGAAAGCGUGGGGAGCAAACAGGAUUAGAAACCCCGGUAGUCC
Molecule: ribosomal RNA, 425 nt
Filed under: uncultured bacterium
Lineage: Bacteria
Description: partial 16S ribosomal RNA
Rfam family: Bacterial small subunit ribosomal RNA
Source: RNAcentral